RNAcentral lists this small RNA (1187 nucleotides) under Histoplasma capsulatum var. duboisii H88. RNAcentral's name for it is "Histoplasma capsulatum H88 hypothetical RNA". Lineage: Eukaryota; Fungi; Ascomycota; Eurotiomycetes; Onygenales; Ajellomycetaceae. The record is from RNAcentral.
GCUACGUACUUUUCCACAGCUUCAGAUCUAUUGGCAAUUCUUUCGAUUCUAUUCUGAGACUAAUGAUGAUCUACCUGCUAAGCGAUCAAAUCCGACUCUUUCUCCCGAAGAAUUGAAUUGCCAAAGGGGUCAGUUUGUGCCCGGUGCUAAUAUAUAUAUAGAAACUACGUCGGAUAAGCAGUACAAGAAGUGGGGGAUCAUAUUCAUAGUGCUCACCAUGUCAGAAUAUGGGAGUUAGGAAUUUGGAAGAACACUGAUGGAGAACCCUCAGGGAACGUGCAUGUCGGCGUCCCUAGUGAAGCGAGCCCCUUGGGGAAGGUCACAAUUUUGAGCUAAUAGCCACCACAUUGCUCGGUGCCCCUUCCACGAUAACUAAUGGGUCUACGGGUCUUCGUGGAAUAUGACUUAUCGAACCAACUUGUUAGUGAGUCAAUUGGUGCUUGCUGCCUGCGAGCUAGAAGACACUCCAGCUUCCGGACUCUUUUCAGAUCACUCAAAACUCAAUCAUGACGCAUUGCGGGAUGGCACAAUGCUGGGUAAAAGUGUUGAGGAUCACGGCGCUUGAAACGCAUGUAAGAGAUCUGAAACUCAUACAUGUAUCUGUAUAUAAAUAUAUAUCUGCCUCUGCUAGAACGGAUGCAGAAAAACACAACAAGCAUGAACACAUGACCAUCGCUUAAUAUCAACAGAAAGGUCACAAAUAAUGACGAUCCUUGAGGAGUGCUCCAGCUUGAGCUAAAAGACCAGAAUACUUAGAACGCCUCAUUGAUUCUUAAACAAUUGGGUUCCCAGGCCGUUUUGUGCCUGCAUGCCCCUGCUGUAGCAUCAAAGUCCUCUGUGCAAUUUCACAGACUUUUGUCCAAUCCAUUCCCCAUUUAUCCAGGAGAAUCUCCAUAUAUGCAUCCACAUCUGCUUGGACAUCCACCUCUGUUCCCUCACUCUCACUCUGCUCAUCUGAGUAAACCACCACCUCAUAAAAUGCAGCUAGUUCGCGGAUGGUUCUGAGAGCUUCCUGCUGCUGCCGCCUGUAUGGUGUGCGAUCGUUAGCUUCAUCCUUUGCCAGCUGACCAAGGCGGUAGAGGCCUUUCAUGUGUUUGGGAAAUCUGGGAUGGGAUUGCCAUUGAACAGUGUCGGGGCCGGUGGGCUUGAGAACUUUAACGAGAUUGAUGGGCUGAUGCAUUCGGCGA